This 81-nucleotide small nucleolar RNA is filed under the name Myotis davidii. RNAcentral's name for it is "Small nucleolar RNA SNORA8". It matches the Rfam family "Small nucleolar RNA SNORA8", at positions 59 to 139 of the family's 139-position model. Rfam says of the family: ACA8 is a member of the H/ACA class of snoRNA that guide the sites of modification of uridines to pseudouridines. The record is from Rfam by way of RNAcentral. Lineage: Eukaryota; Metazoa; Chordata; Mammalia; Chiroptera; Vespertilionidae.
UGCCAUAUAAACUCAGUAUCUGGCAUCAUUGGUUUUCUUGGGUUUAUGCAUGUUCAACCUGGUAUAUUUAUUGAGACAUUA